AGCUCUACUAGAUGAACAACAUGCCGGACUCGCUCGACAACCAUAGUCAGGGCUGGGAACAAACAAAACAACAACAUGGCUUCCACUGUCAUCCUGUUACAUGAAUCAGAGAAGAAUUAGAAUAACUGGGGGAAAUAUAUGUCGUAGCUAACAAAGUAAGAAACAAUAGUUAACAAGUCUGAGUCAUAGAAGCUAGAAGUGUCCCUUCAGAGAGACGAGAACUUAGAAUUGAUGCAUGGAUCUUAUUCUAAACAGCAUAAACACCAUGGCAAUAACAAAUUAACAGUAACAAGAUCAGUGUUAGCAGAAUUAAGUACAAGGCAAUCACGGGUACCAAUCCAGUGCAAGUUAAUAGAGAAAAUAUGUCAAAGUUACUCAGAUUUACUAAUGUGUUUUUCAUACUACCAAAUUGAAGGUAAAAGAUGUGUACUGAUUCAACACUGCAAACUGAUUUCUGAAAGCUUUACCAAAACAUUAUUUAGUCGCUUGGUGCUAAAGCGAUAGAUGUUGAACACUAACUGCCAGCGAUAGUAACAACCAGCAGGUACUAACCAGCAGGUACUACACCUGCGACCGCCAUCACUAGCUUGGAAGCAAUAAGCACAGCAUAGGUAGGAUAGGAAUCAUCCUGGUUGUGUGUUCACGAAUCACCUAAUAGGUGUCGUGCCGCAUAAUUGAUUUCCUGAACUCAGUAUGCUACACUUGUAUAUCCCAAAUCAGGGCUCAUGAAUCCUCAUCAAAGUGUGAAAUUUUACCUGAAGUAGGGCAGUGGCCACGUCGAAAACCACGUACAGGUCAAUGGUCUGCGGGGCAUGAGAAGCACAUCAGGAACCCGACAGUCGCAAGUGGCAGACGAAAAAAAAUACUGCUAGGGAAUCUGUACACGAAUGAGGCAUAGAGCAGCAAAAUAAGAUAUAUAUUCAUGAUCUUCACAGCAUGAAUCCAAAUCCUA
RNAcentral lists this long non-coding RNA (952 nucleotides) under Triticum aestivum (bread wheat). Its description in RNAcentral is "long non-coding RNA (TAES_LNC021298)". The record is from RNAcentral. Lineage: Eukaryota; Viridiplantae; Streptophyta; Magnoliopsida; Poales; Poaceae.